Molecule: ribosomal RNA, 329 nt
Filed under: uncultured eukaryote
Lineage: Eukaryota
Description: partial 18S ribosomal RNA
Rfam family: Eukaryotic small subunit ribosomal RNA
Source: RNAcentral
CCCUUAGAUGUUCUGGGCCACACGCGCGCUACACUGACAGAGCCAGCGAGUUUUUUUCCUUGGCCGGAAGGUCUGGGUAAUCUUGUGAAACUCUGUCGUGCUGGGGAUAGAGCAUUGCAAUUAUUGCUCUUCAACGAGGAAUACCUAGUAAGCGUGAGUCAUCAGCUCGCGUUGAUUACGUCCCUGCCCUUUGUACACACCGCCCGUCACUACUACCGAUUGAAUGGCUUAGUGAGGUCUUGGGAUUGGCUUCGGGGAGCCGGCAACGGCACCCUGUUGCUGAGAACUUGAUCAAACUUGGUCAUUUAGAGGAAGUAAAAGUCGUAACA